This 434-nucleotide ribosomal RNA is filed under the name uncultured Lachnospiraceae bacterium. RNAcentral describes it as "partial 16S ribosomal RNA". It matches the Rfam family "Bacterial small subunit ribosomal RNA", at positions 341 to 792 of the family's 1533-position model. The record is from RNAcentral. Lineage: Bacteria; Bacillati; Bacillota; Clostridia; Lachnospirales; Lachnospiraceae.
ACGGAAGGCAGCAGUGGGGAAUAUUGCACAAUGGGGGAAACCCUGAUGCAGCGACGCCGCGUGAGUGAAGAAGUAUUUCGGUAUGUAAAGCUCUAUCAGCAGGAAAGAUAAUGACGGUACCUGACUAAGAAGCACCGGCUAAAUACGUGCCAGCAGCCGCGGUAAUACGUAUGGUGCAAGCGUUAUCCGGAUUUACUGGGUGUAAAGGGAGCGCAGACGGCAUGGCAAGCCAGAUGUGAAAGGCAGGGGCUCAACUCCUGGACUGCAUUUGGAACUGUCAAGCUAGAGUAUCGGAGAGGUAAGUGGAAUUCCUAGUGUAGCGGUGAAAUGCGUAGAUAUUAGGAGGAACACCAGUGGCGAAGGCGGCUUACUGGACGAUAACUGACGUUGAGGCUCGAAAGCGUGGGGAGCAAACAGGAUUAGAUACCCUGGUA